This is a long non-coding RNA of Syngnathus acus (greater pipefish), 529 nucleotides long. RefSeq lists it as uncharacterized. Lineage: Eukaryota; Metazoa; Chordata; Actinopteri; Syngnathiformes; Syngnathidae. The transcript is spliced from 2 exons. The record is from RefSeq and is a predicted model, not a curated record.
UCGAUGACGGCAACUCAAACGAACAAAAGCUGUCAGUGCAACAUGGCGUGCGAAUGGGUGAGAACACCUAUAGGCUGGAUGAUUACGGCUCGUGACGACUACUGUUUAACAGCGAAGCCAACGUCACCCCCCCCCCCCUCCUCUCAGCGUUCAACAUCUGGGGGUAAUAAGCCGCUCCCGCCCUGGGACGUUUUCCUUAUGUCUGCUGGAUCGCACGCUCUGGCGGACCAUGGCGGCGCUUGCUGACUUCAUCGUGGAAGCGGUGAGUCAGCGCCAGGGCUAGAAGAAAAGUCCUGUGGUCUGUGUAAAAGGGCAGCAGGACGCAACGGGGACGGUUUGGCUUCAACCGCAGUGAAAACCUGCUCAACAAGCAGGUCGAGAGCAAGCUUGUUUAUUAGUCUUUUACCUGCAGGCAGUUCUUAUUCACUGCAGAGGUGGGAGAGGCCAGGACGAACUCCAAUGAGAAUGGACAGCGAUUGUGGUCUCUGAAAUGCCCAAAAAGCAAUAAAAGCGGAAGAUGCACAAGGAA